GAAAUGCGAUACUUGGUGUGAAUUGCAGAAUCCCGUGAACCAUCGAGUCUUUGAACGCAAGUUGCGCCCGAAGCCAUUAGGCCGAGGGCACGCCUGCCUGGGUGUCACACAUCGUUUCCCCAACGCAAACAUGUAACAAUGUUGCUCGCGGGAGGUCCCAAC
RNAcentral lists this unclassified non-coding RNA (162 nucleotides) under uncultured fungus. RNAcentral describes it as "sequence contains ITS1". The stretch from base 1 to 107 matches the Rfam family "5.8S ribosomal RNA", at positions 50 to 154 of the family's 154-position model. Rfam says of the family: 5.8S ribosomal RNA (5.8S rRNA) is a component of the large subunit of the eukaryotic ribosome. It is transcribed by RNA polymerase I as part of the 45S precursor that also contains 18S and 28S rRNA. Lineage: Eukaryota; Fungi. The record is from RNAcentral.